CGGUCGCUUGUCCGAGUGGUUAGGUUAGCGUUUGCAAAACGUUUUACGGCGGUUCGAUUCCGCCAGCGACAA
This 72-nucleotide transfer RNA is filed under the name Pedobacter sp. RNAcentral's name for it is "tRNA-Cys". It matches the Rfam family "tRNA". Rfam says of the family: Transfer RNA (tRNA) molecules are approximately 80 nucleotides in length. Their secondary structure includes four short double-helical elements and three loops (D, anti-codon, and T loops). Further hydrogen bonds mediate the characteristic L-shaped molecular structure. tRNAs have two regions of fundamental functional importance: the anti-codon, which is responsible for specific mRNA codon recognition, and the 3' end, to which the tRNAs corresponding amino acid is attached (by aminoacyl-tRNA synthetases). tRNAs cope with the degeneracy of the genetic code in two manners: having more than one tRNA (with a specific anti-codon) for a particular amino acid; and 'wobble' base-pairing, i.e. permitting non-standard base-pairing at the 3rd anti-codon position. The record is from RNAcentral. Lineage: Bacteria; Pseudomonadati; Bacteroidota; Sphingobacteriia; Sphingobacteriales; Sphingobacteriaceae.